Saimiri boliviensis boliviensis (Bolivian squirrel monkey) is the source of this 144-nucleotide non-coding RNA. NCBI's taxonomy places the organism in Eukaryota, Metazoa, Chordata, Mammalia, Primates, Cebidae. The record is from RefSeq and is a predicted model, not a curated record.
AGCUUUGCGCAGUGGCAGUAUCGUAGUCAAUGAGGUUUAUCCGAGGCACGAUUAUUGCUAAGAAAAAUAAAAAAAUAAAAAGAAAAUAGAAUGGUGGUUACUAGGAUCCAUGAGGAAGGGAAAAUGUGAAAUUAUUGCUUAAUG